GCCAGGGAGCGCGCGCGGGGCGCGGCGCCUCAAACGGGGAACCGAUAGGCACUGCGGGCACGUCGUUCUCCAAGAGGCCACCUUGCUGUGAGCCAGACUUCCCAUCCGCAAAAUGGGAUGAUGAAACUCAGGCUCAGAGUGGUGAACUGGCUCUCCCAAGGUGACAGAGCUGGAGUUUGAACUGUGAUCCAUCUGCUCCAGAAUUUGUGUCCUUUCUUGGACUGGACAAAGCAGUUCGUGGAGUUCCAGUUUGUAGGUGAUGACACUGGGAUUUGCACCUUGAUCAGCCCAGCCUGAGGUGCUGAGUCCCCAUGAUGGAAGAGUCACACUUCCUGCCCUGGAGGAGCUCAUGGUCUCAUGGAGAAAAAAGACGAGAACCAUCCAUGCCAACAAAUAAAUAUAAAUACAUGGUGAUGAUUUCCAUGAAGAAAGCAAAUGAGAGGUUGAGAGAUGAUGGCAGAGAAAUCCUGCUUACUAUGGUGUGAUCAGGGAAGCCUUCCUGGAGGCAACAGUCAAGUUGAAACUCAGAGGAUGCAAUGAGAAGGGUAAACCAUGAGAAGGGCGAAGAGGAAGAUGUUCCAGGCAGAGGGAAUAGCAUGUGCAAAAUCCCUGAGGUAAGAAGGAGUUUAGCAUGCUGAAGAAACAGAAAGACGCCAGUGUGGGGAAAGCAGAGCA
Long non-coding RNA from Cebus imitator (Panamanian white-faced capuchin), 675 nucleotides. RefSeq lists it as uncharacterized. The transcript is spliced from 3 exons. NCBI's taxonomy places the organism in Eukaryota, Metazoa, Chordata, Mammalia, Primates, Cebidae. The record is from RefSeq and is a predicted model, not a curated record.